RNAcentral lists this transfer RNA (63 nucleotides) under Lama guanicoe (guanaco). Its description in RNAcentral is "partial tRNA-Phe". The record is from RNAcentral. Lineage: Eukaryota; Metazoa; Chordata; Mammalia; Artiodactyla; Camelidae.
AUGUAGCUUAACUUAAAAGCAAGGCGCUGAAAAUGCCUAGAUGGGCUCACGGCCCCAUAAACA